GGACCCAAGAGGAAGAAACUCUUGCUAGUGGAGGUCAUUACCAGCUGCUUAAGGAGCACUGACCUGUCUCAAGAAGGAAGAUAUUUUCUGCUGAGAAACGCCAAGAUAUUUUCCCUCAUUCCUCACUCUAUCACCAUGACACCAAAUUGCUGCUCUGAAGUGACUCUUACCACAGAAAGCAAUGUGCUAAAGCCAUGGUGGAUAUCCCCUUCUCAAAUUGUUCUUCAGCUUCAAAUAAUUAUUUCCACUAGAAAACUCCUUUUGAAAGAGCAGCAAAUCACCCUUACACAAAAGAAUACAGCGUGUAAUGCCUUCCGCAGCAGAAUCCCAGAAGCUUUGCUUUGUAGCAUUGGAUGGCUGAACAAUAGACUUCAAUUGCAGCGGAAACAUGGAACAGAUUUUACAGACCCUAAAAGGUGCUUUCAGGUAAGAGCUACAAUUAUACAUGAGCAGAAGCCACAACCGAGACAGCAGGAGAGAAAAGCUGCCAAGAGUAGAGAAAAUAUGUAGGAAAGAAUAAUGAUAUCUGAGAUAAAGUUAUAGAAGGAAAGCAAACGGAAUCAAGCAUUUAAAAAUGUACACCAGUGCACAUUUCAAGUUUUGAAAUGUAAAGACAAGGGUAGAGAUGGUUAGAAUUAGGCUUCAAACUCACUUUUCUAUCAGUCUUAAAUAUGAAACAAGCCCUGAUCCAACUUUGUUAAAUUUUUUUCGGUAUGCCAGAUGUUAUAUUUUUAAAUAAUUUCAACCAGCAUUAAAGAUUUGUUUUGAUGAUUUUCCUAAAGCAAAGGAAGAUUGGCCCAAAGAUGAAUUGGUACCACUUCUAUAAAUAAAUAUCUGUGAGAAAAGUUUGAAUGCCCUUUC
RNAcentral lists this long non-coding RNA (861 nucleotides) under Sus scrofa (pig). RNAcentral's name for it is "lncRNA (ENSSSCG00055010376.1)". The record is from RNAcentral. Lineage: Eukaryota; Metazoa; Chordata; Mammalia; Artiodactyla; Suidae.